AGGCAGCUGAGGAUAAAUAUUGUCAUUAUAGGGGGAUGCACACUGUAACUGUUAGAAAGGGAGCUCAUGGGCUUGGCAUUAUGAUAAUUGAAGGCAAGCAUGCUGAAGUUGGACAGGGCAUCUUCAUAUCGGACAUCCAAGAAAACAGUGCUGCUGAACAGGCUGGGUUGUGUGUUGGUGACAUGAUUUUAGCUGCCAAUGAUACAGACUUGGUUGGAGCUGAUUAUGAUACAG
This is a long non-coding RNA of Stegodyphus dumicola, 234 nucleotides long. Lineage: Eukaryota; Metazoa; Arthropoda; Arachnida; Araneae; Eresidae. The record is from RefSeq and is a predicted model, not a curated record.